RNAcentral lists this long non-coding RNA (201 nucleotides) under Mytilus galloprovincialis (Mediterranean mussel). Lineage: Eukaryota; Metazoa; Mollusca; Bivalvia; Mytilida; Mytilidae. The record is from RNAcentral.
GUCUGAAAGAAGCCAUUUGUAUGCAAAAACAUGACAGAUACGGCGGCAAAAGUUUAUAAUGGAAAAGAUUUUUUUACCGACGAAGCACCAACUGGCAUACAUGUAGCUCUUGGGGUCAAUGACCUACACAAGCCCCCGACUAAGACAAUGUUAGUGAUCCACCAAUAGGGGGUCAUGUUUCGAAGAUAAGAUUAGACACCC